CCUGAGAUCGGACGAGAUUACCCGCU
Molecule: ribosomal RNA, 26 nt
Filed under: Dendrobaena veneta
Lineage: Eukaryota; Metazoa; Annelida; Clitellata; Crassiclitellata; Lumbricidae
Also listed under: 2 other names
Description: partial 28S ribosomal RNA
Source: RNAcentral